This is a long non-coding RNA of Bufo bufo (common toad), 145 nucleotides long. RefSeq lists it as uncharacterized. The record is from RefSeq and is a predicted model, not a curated record. The transcript has 3 exons. Lineage: Eukaryota; Metazoa; Chordata; Amphibia; Anura; Bufonidae.
CACAUAUACAGUGUGUUAUAUAUUAUAUACAUGAUCAUACGAGUGUAUUACUGUAGUGCAGCGGUUGCAUGAACUGCACGGCGUCAUAGCAACCAAUGACGCCAUGCGCUCCUGCUGUCAGCAGGGUGCCAGGCUGGGAUACCAU